UUCUUUUGGGGUUACCCAUCUGUUUUCUGCGGGGAAAAAAUCCUGAAUUUUUAUUCUCUGUUGAUUAUUUCAUGUUUCAUUACCAGUUAUUCCUAUCUCUUUGCUCCGUUUCUCUGUCUUCCAAGAAAUAUUUGGUGUUGAUAUUAACAUAGUUUUGUCUUGUGGGGAAAUUUGCAUUUUUGUGUCUGAUUUUGUUAUUUCAGAAAUUGUUUUGGUUUUACGCGUAAGCUUGAAAGAAAGUCCCAUUAAUUGUUGUUUAGCGGAUAACAUUUAGUAUGUUGUCUUGUAGCUGUGUGUAGGGGCCAUUUUUCUUGCGAGUGCUGACAAUUUCCCCCCCUUUUUUUCCCUUUGUUUUGUUUCUUGGAUAUAAUUUACCUUCUUGUCCAUACUCCAGAGUGUUAGAUUAAAGAAUG
Molecule: unclassified non-coding RNA, 413 nt
Filed under: Hevea brasiliensis (rubber tree)
Lineage: Eukaryota; Viridiplantae; Streptophyta; Magnoliopsida; Malpighiales; Euphorbiaceae
Source: RNAcentral